RNAcentral lists this long non-coding RNA (778 nucleotides) under Ananas comosus (pineapple). RNAcentral describes it as "long non-coding RNA (ACOM_LNC006442)". The record is from RNAcentral. Lineage: Eukaryota; Viridiplantae; Streptophyta; Magnoliopsida; Poales; Bromeliaceae.
UUUACUAUUUUUUAGGGCGCGUCGGGUUCGCAUUACAAAAGAUUUCUAGGAAUAAAAAGAUGUCUAAAAAUUUUAUUCUUAUUCAUCUUAUUACUAAGAAUAUGAUAUUUAUGUGAUCGGUUCGUACGGUCAUAUUAUUUAAGAUUAUAAAAAAUAUACAAUUUAUUUAUUUAUUUUUUUAAUUAUUUUUAGAUAAUGCUAUAAAAAAUUUCAACAUAUUUUUUUUAAAAAGGGAUAGAGAGCAUAGGUUAGAGAGAGAGAGCAUAAUUAAAAAAAUAGAAAGAGAAAUAAAGUCGAAAUUAGAGGGAGUGGAGAGUUGAGAUUUUAGAAAAAGAGGGAGAGAGAAAGCUUAGUUUAGAGAGAGAAAAACAGUUGAAUUUUAGAGAAAAAAGGAUAAGUUUAGAGAAAGAUAUGAGAUUAGAGUGUAAAAAAAAAUAAUACCAAUUAGUCAGCGGGUAGAGAAAAAGAAAGAAAUUAGACAAAUUAUAAUUACCCCAAUCUAUUAAUAUAAGGAUACCUACUAUCCUUCAAGGAAAUGAGAUUAAUACUUUGGAAUGAAUCUCAUGUCCAAAUAAAUUUAAUAUUAUCAACUAGAUUACUUAGUAUGCUUAGCCAAACACUGUCAUUAUUUUUUAUUUCUAUUGAAUUAUUAGAAAUCUUAAAAAGAUGGUGCGAACCAAAGACACCUUAAGGUAAUCCCUUUCCAUCUCUUAAUUUCAUUCGGUUCCUCGAACCAAAGACACCUUAAGGUAAUCCCUUUCCAUCUCUUAAUUUCAUU